RNAcentral lists this ribosomal RNA (116 nucleotides) under Chloroflexota bacterium. The record is from RNAcentral. Lineage: Bacteria; Bacillati; Chloroflexota.
UUGGGUGACAAGGCGAGGGGGGUACACCCGUUCCCAUACCGAACACGGUAGUUAAGUCCCUCAGCACCGACGAUACUGCACGGGCGACUGUGUGGGAAAAUAGGCCGUUGCCCAAG